AUGGCGAAUGGAAUCGAUUUCUAAUCACUGUUUCUAAUAAACGUUCUAACCUCAACCUACAGUCAUAUAAACAGUUCAAUGUGAAUGGAUAACUUAUUAAAGUAUUGCUCCGUGUAAAGGAAUUGGUGACUUGAUAUGGGAUAUUAAAACCGAAUAAUAAUGGCCGUUCUUCAUAGAGCAUUGUUCACGUGGUUCUUGUUUUUAGUAUUCUUGAUUCUUCUUGUUCUUCGUUUGGAUUCAAGGACAAAUUGGAACUGGUUCAUAGUUUUCAUUCCUCUGUGGAUUUAUGACAUUAUUCUACUUGUGUAUAUAUUUUUCAACAUAAUGUCUCUUUGGAAAAAUAGACUAGAUAGGUUAGCGACUUGUGUCCACAGAAAACUCUGGUAUCUGGGUGCUAUAAUCUUGAAAAUGACAGCUCAAAUUAUCAUGUGUCUGAAAUUGCAAAAUCCGUCUAUAAAUCUCUCACUUUACUAUGUUAUGGCACCCGUUUGGAUACUUCUGCAAUUAUUGAUAAUUGAUGUGUUUUGGAGCUUGAUCAUUGGAAGGACUAGCAGAUACUUCUGACGUUCACGAACCUUGUAUCCAUACUGAUGGGAAUGUGCAAGAUCAAGUGUACCUCGGUGGUAGAUUCAUCAAGUUGCUAAUUAAGACUUCAUAUACGAUCCAAGUUUGCAUUGAGUCUAAGUUGCGGACAAUCAAAACGAAUCACCUCUUAGAAAAUAUGAAAUAAUCAAAUUGUAGCUAGUCUAGUUUCUACUUCAAAUAGAGUAUAAUUGUAUAAAUCAAUAUAAUAAUCUUCCAGUUGGAAAAAACGAUCUCUGUUGAGAUAUUUCCAUUUCAGUUUGAAGUUUUUUGAUUGCAUUAGAAUGUGAUUUGUAUGAUACCCAAAAUAACUGGAAUUAAAAAAUCACAAAACAAAGUGGAAAGGCAAAAAAUAAUUCUAUUUAUAAUAGUUGAAACUUGAACAUUUUUAAUUUAAGAAAUAUUAACAUUUUAAAAUUACUUUCUUUAGAUGGUUUUCUCAGGCACAAAUACAAUCUUGAAAUCUAUGUUGGAGAUUCGUCAUUGAUCUUUUUUCUCAUUGUGAUUAUUUGAUUACUUUCGUGGAGCUAACUAACUCAAAUCAAUAGUGUUGACAACGUGACCAAUAAAUGUGAUUUAAUUGAAAAGAUUUUCAUGAAAUCCACAAUUCCCCAGUUGAGAUGUUCCAGCGAUCAAUAAGGAAUCUUCAACAUACAUUUUAAGAAUACAGGAGGAAGUCAUAAAUUUUAUAUUUGAAAAAUUAUAUAAAAUAUCAUGAAUUUAUUUACAUUACGCUAUAAUUAUUGCCAUUUCUCAAAUGACAAGUUUUCAAGUUCCAAUUAUUAUAAAUAAAAAUAAUUUUCCUCCUUAACUUUCAUGAUUUUUCUCAAUUUCCCGUUAUUUUGGGUCACCCAUACAUCAGAAGUACAAGGAUCGUUCCACAAUCAAGUUUCACCAUUUUUUAAAGCUCAGUACGUGACAGGAAAAUUCUGGUAAUUUCAAAAACGUUCUCCGCACGUUUAGUGGCAAUCGCAAUACUGGCAUGAUUCAUUUGUCAGUUGGAAGCAAUCCAAUAUGGAUCUACCACUUACUUCUACCACCAAAUGAAGAAUGCCUAGUGCCGUCCGUUUUUUAACGGGAAUGCGACUGAAAUUCAGUUGUGUAUUGUGGCUAUGUAUUUAAACAUUUGGAGAGAGAGUUGCUAAUGCAUCUUGUCAAACGUAAAGCUACGGUCGAAAUCUUCGGACAUCUUCGACAAUGUUUGAGGCACAUGACGUGAAUGUGUAACCACUUCGUUGUUUAAUGUUAUUCUUCCUUCAACAGAGGAUUGGAACAAACGAGAAGCAAUCAGUUUUGACAAAACAGUUGUCACCAUACACAUGUCACAACUUGUGAUGAAUUUCAAUCGCAGUUUUAGGGCCAGUUUCCGAGCUUGGGAUCUAUAAGUUCUGGACUUACAGAGUCCAGGACUAAAAUAAGCGCUCGGGUCUAAAUCGACUUUCUGAGUCU
Molecule: long non-coding RNA, 2031 nt
Filed under: Nilaparvata lugens (brown planthopper)
Lineage: Eukaryota; Metazoa; Arthropoda; Insecta; Hemiptera; Delphacidae
Description: uncharacterized LOC120354501
Source: RNAcentral